GGCUCAAGGACCUGGGCGGACAGGGCAGUAGGACUCUUAGUUUUCUUUUUUCUUUUUGUAGGUGUUGAGGCCAGUAGGCCUUGUAUUAUACAAUGUUAACGUUGAAUGUAGAUAUUUGUGUAAUUGCUCUUUUUAAGCUUUUUUCCUAAAUGUCUUGUUUUCUUUUUCCUCAUGCCGAUCCGACCUCGGCAGCGCGAGGUCGGGUAAGCUACUUGCGAUAGC
RNAcentral lists this long non-coding RNA (222 nucleotides) under Sorghum bicolor (sorghum). RNAcentral describes it as "long non-coding RNA (SBIC_LNC002877)". Lineage: Eukaryota; Viridiplantae; Streptophyta; Magnoliopsida; Poales; Poaceae. The record is from RNAcentral.